This is a long non-coding RNA of Rhinolophus ferrumequinum (greater horseshoe bat), 586 nucleotides long. RefSeq lists it as uncharacterized. The record is from RefSeq and is a predicted model, not a curated record. The transcript is spliced from 3 exons. Lineage: Eukaryota; Metazoa; Chordata; Mammalia; Chiroptera; Rhinolophidae.
UAUAUGUUUCUGAACGUUAGACUUUUAUCUACAGAGUAACCUGGGAAUUUUUAUUCAGGCAUUCGAUCUUGACGUUAAUUAGCCACCGUCACUGCACUAGUAGUUUCUUUUACUUCAGAGAUCAAAGAAUUUCAUUUAAUCCACAGUCGGGCCAGGCUGUGGGUAUUUGGAUGGCCAGGGCCAGACCCUGCAGCAUGGUUGUGGUGGGCAUGUGGCAGUGGGUGGCCAACAGGCCAUCUGUGUGUUCAGGAGCUCCAAGUCCAGCAUACAUCGCUCGCGAGCUCAAGGAGCAAGGCCCUUCCCUUCCAGGCAUUCCCUAAGGUGGAUGCGACAUUGUGAUGUCCGGGGCUAGCUUCGAAAUGAUGAUGCAGUUUCCACCUGGCUCUCCGUCAGGAUGCUUGUCCUUGGAUCCCAGCCACCAGGGUGUGCAGAAUCCCAGGCCACAUGGAGGUGCUGGGGCCGCAGCCAGCAUCAGCCACCAGAUAUGGGAGCCAGGGGCUUUCAGAUGAUUCCAGCCCCAGGCUUCAAGCUGCCCUGCUGAUGCUGCGUGCAGCAGACAGCUGUCCGGCUGAGCCUUGCCCAAACU